GACGAACGCUGGCGGCGUGCUUAACACAUGCAAGUCGAACGGAAAGGCCCUGCUUUUGUGGGGUGCUCGAGUGGCGAACGGGUGAGUAACACGUGAGUAACCUGCCCCUGACUUUGGGAUAACUUCAGGAAACUGGGGCUAAUACCGGAUAGGAGCUCCUGCUGCAUGGUGGGGGUUGGAAAGUUUCGGCGGUUGGGGAUGGACUCGCGGCUUAUCAGCUUGUUGGUGGGGUAGUGGCUUACCAAGGCUUUGACGGGUAGCCGGCCUGAGAGGGUGGCCGGCCACAUUGGGACUGAGAUACGGCCCAGACUCCUACGGGAGGCAGCAGUGGGGAAUAUUGCACAAUGGGCGGAAGCCUGAUGCAGCAACGCCGCGUGCGGGAUGACGGCCUUCGGGUUGUAAACCGCUUUCGCCUGUGACGAAGCGUGAGUGACGGUAAUGGGUAAAGAAGCACCGGCUAACUACGUG
RNAcentral lists this ribosomal RNA (468 nucleotides) under uncultured bacterium. RNAcentral's name for it is "partial 16S ribosomal RNA". It matches the Rfam family "Bacterial small subunit ribosomal RNA", at positions 28 to 507 of the family's 1533-position model. The record is from RNAcentral.